UGGGUUGCUAUUCCCUGUGGAUGAGU
RNAcentral lists this non-coding RNA (26 nucleotides) under Macaca fascicularis (crab-eating macaque). The record is from RNAcentral. Lineage: Eukaryota; Metazoa; Chordata; Mammalia; Primates; Cercopithecidae. RNAcentral also lists the same sequence under 1 other name.